GUCCACGCCGUAAACGAUGAUAACUAGCUGUCGGGGUUCAUAGAACUUCGGUGGCGCAGCUAACGCAUUAAGUUAUCCGCCUGGGGAGUACGGCCGCAAGGUUAAAACUCAAAUGAAUUGACGGGGGCCUGCACAAGCGGUGGAGCAUGUGGUUUAAUUCGAAGCAACGCGCAGAACCUUACCAGCGUUUGACAUGCCUAGUAUAUUUUCCAGAGAUGGAUUAUUUCAGUUCGGCUGGCUAGUGCACAGGUGCUGCAUGGCUGUCGU
RNAcentral lists this ribosomal RNA (267 nucleotides) under uncultured bacterium. RNAcentral's name for it is "partial 16S ribosomal RNA". It matches the Rfam family "Bacterial small subunit ribosomal RNA", at positions 793 to 1055 of the family's 1533-position model. The record is from RNAcentral.